This 430-nucleotide ribosomal RNA is filed under the name uncultured low G+C Gram-positive bacterium. RNAcentral's name for it is "bacterial SSU rRNA". It matches the Rfam family "Bacterial small subunit ribosomal RNA", at positions 1 to 427 of the family's 1533-position model. The record is from RNAcentral. Lineage: Bacteria; Bacillati; Bacillota.
UAGAGUUUGAUCCUGGCUCAGGACGAACGCUGGCGGCGUGCCUAAUACAUGCAAGUCGAGCGAAUCUGAGGGAGCUUGCUCCCGAAGGUUAGCGGCGGACGGGUGAGUAACACGUGGGCAACCUGCCUAUAAGACUGGGAUAACUUCGGGAAACCGGAGCUAAUACCGGAUAAUUCUUCUCUACUCAUGUAGGGAAGCUGAAAGACGGUUUCGGCUGUCACUUAUAGAUGGGCCCGCGGCGCAUUAGCUAGUUGGUGAGGUAACGGCUCACCAAGGCGACGAUGCGUAGCCGACCUGAGAGGGUGAUCGGCCACACUGGGACUGAGACACGGCCCAGACUCCUACGGGAGGCAGCAGUAGGGAAUCUUCCGCAAUGGACGAAAGUCUGACGGAGCAACGCCGCGUGAGUGAUGAAGGUUUUCGGAUCGUA